This 253-nucleotide ribosomal RNA is filed under the name uncultured Nitrospira sp. RNAcentral's name for it is "partial 16S ribosomal RNA". It matches the Rfam family "Bacterial small subunit ribosomal RNA", at positions 524 to 776 of the family's 1533-position model. The record is from RNAcentral. Lineage: Bacteria; Pseudomonadati; Nitrospirota; Nitrospiria; Nitrospirales; Nitrospiraceae.
UACGUAGGGACCAAGCGUUGUUCGGAUUUACUGGGCGUACAGGGAGCGUAGGCGGUUGGGUAAGCCCUCCGUGAAAUCUCCAGGCUUAACCUGGAAAGUGCAGAGGGGACUGCUUAGCUAGAGGAUGGGAGAGGAGCGCGGAAUUCCCGGUGUAGCGGUGAAAUGCGUAGAGAUCGGGAGGAAGGCCGGUGGCGAAGGCGGCGCUCUGGAACAUUUCUGACGCUGAGGCUCGAAAGCGUGGGGAGCAAACAGG